This 618-nucleotide ribosomal RNA is filed under the name uncultured bacterium. RNAcentral's name for it is "bacterial SSU rRNA". It matches the Rfam family "Bacterial small subunit ribosomal RNA", at positions 547 to 1161 of the family's 1533-position model. The record is from RNAcentral.
GGAAUUACUUGGGCGUAAAGCGUUCGUAGGCGGUUAUUUAAGUUAGAUGUGAAAGCCCCGGGCUUAACCUGGGAACUGCAUUUAAAACUGGGUAACUCGAGUUUAGGAGAGGGAAGUGGAAUUUCAGGUGUAGCAGUGAAAUGCGUAGAGAUCUGAAGGAACACCAGUGGCGAAGGCGACUUCCUGGACUAAAACUGACGCUGAGGAACGAAAGCGUGGGUAGCAAACGGGAUUAGAUACCCCGGGUAGUCCACGCCGUAAACGAUGUCAACUAGCCGUUGGGCCUAUAUACAGGUUUAGUGGCGGAGCUAACGUAUUAAGUUGACCGCCUGGGGAGUACGGCCGCAAGGUUAAAACUCAAAUGAAUUGACGGGGGCCCGCACAAGCGGUGGAGCAUGUGGUUUAAUUCGAUGCAACGCGAAGAACCUUACCUACCCUUGACAUCCAGAGAAUCUGUUAGAGAUAGUAGAGUGCCUUCGGGAACUCUGAGACAGGUGCUGCAUGGCUGUCGUCAGCUCGUGUCGUGAGAUGUUGGGUUAAGUCCCGUAACGAGCGCAACCCUUAUCCUUAGUUGCUAGCAGGUAAUGCUGAGAACUCUAAGGAGACUGCCGGUGAUAA